Molecule: long non-coding RNA, 222 nt
Organism: Pseudoliparis swirei
Lineage: Eukaryota; Metazoa; Chordata; Actinopteri; Perciformes; Liparidae
Exons: 3
Source: RefSeq, a predicted model, not a curated record
UUCGUCUCGUAGACUGUAUUCGCAGCGACGGCAAGCUAGUGGAGUUGCUGAAAUGCAAGCAGUUUGGUCUGAUCAACAAGUGGAGGCUGUCAGAGAACUGCGUGGUUAACUGUCCUGUCAACUGCAUCCUCUCUGAAUGGUCGCAGUGGGCUGAAUGUUCGCACACCUGCGGUAACCAAGGUCAGUCUGUGCGCAGCCGGAGGAUCCUGCAGGAGGCUCAUG